GACGAACGUUGGCGGCGUGCUUAACACAUGCAAGUCGAACGGAAAGGCCCUGCUUUUGUGGGGUGCUCGAGUGGCGAACGGGUGAGUAACACGUGAGUAACCUGCCCUUGACUUUGGGAUAACUUCAGGAAACUGGGGCUAAUACCGGAUAGGAGCUCCUGCUGCAUGGUGGGGGUUGGAAAGUUUCGGCGGUUGGGGAUGGACUCGCGGCUUAUCAGCUUGUUGGUGGGGUAGUGGCUUACCAAGGCUUUGACGGGUAGCCGGCCUGAGAGGGUGACCGGCCACAUUGGGACUGAGAUACGGCCCAGACUCCUACGGGAGGCAGCAGUGGGGAAUAUUGCACAAUGGGCGGAAGCCUGAUGCAGCAACGCCGCGUGCGGGAUGACGGCCUUCGGGUUGUAAACCGCUUUCGCCUGUGACGAAGCGUGAGUGACGGUAAUGGGUAAAGAAGCACCGGCUAACUACGUGCCAGCAGCCGCGGUGAUACGUAGGGUGCGAGCGUUGUCCGGAUUUAUUGGGCGUAAAGGGCUCGUAGGUGGUUGAUCGCGUCGGAAGUGUAAUCUUGGGGCUUAACCCUGAGCGUGCUUUCGAUACGGGUUGACUUGAGGAAGGUAGGGGAGAAUGGAAUUCCUGGCGGAGCGGUGGAAUGCGCAGAUAUCAGGAGGAACACCAGUGGCGAAGGCGGUUCUCUGGGCCUUUCCUGACGCUGAGGAGCGAAAGCGUGGGGAGCGAACAGGCUUAGAUACCCUGGUAGUCCACGCUGUAAACGGUGGGUACUAGGUGUGGGGUCCAUUCCACGGGUUCCGUGCCGUAGCUAACGCUUUAAGUACCCCGCCUGGGGAGUACGGCCGCAAGGCUAAAACUCAAAGGAAUUGACGGGGCCCCGCACAAGCGGCGGAGCAUGCGGAUUAAUUCGAUGCAACGCGUAGAACCUUACCUGGGUUUGACAUGGAUCGGGAGUGCUCAGAGAUGGGUGUGCCUCUUUUGGGGUCGGUUCACAGGUGGUGCAUGCCUGUCGUCAGCUCGUGUCGUGAGAUGUUGGGUUAAGUCCCGCAACGAGCGCAACCCUUGUUCACUGUUGCCAGCACGUUAUGGUGGGGACUCAGUGGAGACCGCCGGGGUCAACUCGGAGGAAGGUGGGGAUGACGUCAAGUCCUCAUGCCCCUUAUGUCCAGGGCUUCACGCAUGCUACAAUGGCUGGUACAGAGAGUGGCGAGCCUGUGAGGGUGAGCGAAUCUCGGAAAGCCGGUCUCAGUUCGGAUUGGGGUCUGCAACUCGACCUCAUGAAGUCGGAGUCGCUAGUAAUCGCAGAUCAGCAACGCUGCGGUGAAUACGUUCCCGGG
Molecule: ribosomal RNA, 1343 nt
Filed under: uncultured bacterium
Lineage: Bacteria
Description: 16S ribosomal RNA
Rfam family: Bacterial small subunit ribosomal RNA
Source: RNAcentral